UGCCUGAUGGAGGGGGAUAACUACUGGAAACGGUAGCUAAUACCGCAUAACGUCGCAAGACCAAAGAGGGGGACCUUCGGGCCUCUUGCCAUCGGAUGUGCCCAGAUGGGAUUAGCUAGUAGGUGGGGUAACGGCUCACCUAGGCGACGAUCCCUAGCUGGUCUGAGAGGAUGACCAGCCACACUGGAACUGAGACACGGUCCAGACUCCUACGGGAGGCAGCAGUGGGGAAUAUUGCACAAUGGGCGCAAGCCUGAUGCAGCCAUGCCGCGUGUAUGAAGAAGGCCUUCGGGUUGUAAAGUACUUUCAGCGGGGAGGAAGGGAGUAAAGUUAAUACCUUUGCUCAUUGACGUUACCCGCAGAAGAAGCACCGGCUAACUCCGUGCCAGCAGCCGCGGUAAUACGGAGGGUGCAAGCGUUAAUCGGAAUUACUGGGCGUAAAGCGCACGCAGGCGGUUUGUUAAGUCAGAUGUG
RNAcentral lists this ribosomal RNA (474 nucleotides) under Escherichia coli. Its description in RNAcentral is "bacterial SSU rRNA". It matches the Rfam family "Bacterial small subunit ribosomal RNA", at positions 127 to 596 of the family's 1533-position model. Lineage: Bacteria; Pseudomonadati; Pseudomonadota; Gammaproteobacteria; Enterobacterales; Enterobacteriaceae. The record is from RNAcentral.